Molecule: long non-coding RNA, 511 nt
Organism: Frieseomelitta varia
Lineage: Eukaryota; Metazoa; Arthropoda; Insecta; Hymenoptera; Apidae
Exons: 3
Source: RefSeq, a predicted model, not a curated record
UUUCCUGUGAAAUGCGCGCGUAUUGGGGUUAAUUAGUGGCGAUUGCAGCGCCUCAGCGGUGAUAAACGUAAUAUACUUCCUACGAUUACCGAAAUAAUCAAUAUUUCUCAUGAUCGAUUUUUAAGUGGCAAACAUGGCGGAAAGGAGCACCUGUAAACCUUUACCUCAUCUGUAAAGAAGGAAGCGUUGUCCAGAAAGAAGUAUCUUCUAGCAGUUCUCAGUAAAACGUAGAAGGCCUUGGAGCUCGAAAUUCGAAGUAAAAACAACAACACGGACACAAUGUUUAUGUUCAUCUUACUUAUCGUGCAUGUUCGGACAGGAUCACCCCAUCUCCUACUGUUUCUCAAUUGAAGGACAAGACGUGUGGCGGAGAGUCAUUCGGCUGUCGAAUUUCGUGACAACAACAUGCAUUACGUCGCAUUUGGUUAUUUCUUGGUUGCAAAGUUAACACGAACGAUCAUUAAUUAAUAAUCUGAUGAACUUUCACGGAAAGUUGGUAACAUUUUAUUUA